GGUCGGUUCUGCCGGGCCCCGCCGGUGCGCCCCGCCCCUGCACGCACAGCAGGCCCAGGCGGAGCGGCGGGACGCCCCAGUCCAGCCCGAGCGGUGGCAUCCGAGCGGGAGCCGGAGCCCGAGUGGGACCGGAGCUGGAGCCGAAGCUGGAGCCGGCACUGCGGCGCACGGAGCGGAGCGCCGCAGCCAAGCCGAUAGCACGAUACAAUCGUACCAGCUACUUCUACCCCACCACUUUCUCCGAGAGCUCUGAGCACAGCCACCUGCUGGUGUCUCCAGUGUUGGUGGCAAGCGCUGUCAUAGGUGUGGUCAUCACUCUCUCCUGCAUUACCAUCAUUGUGGGAAGCAUCAGAAGGGACAGACAGGCCCGGAUCCAGAGACACCACCAUCGUCAU
This 395-nucleotide long non-coding RNA is filed under the name Rattus norvegicus (Norway rat). RNAcentral's name for it is "long non-coding RNA NONRATT014434". Lineage: Eukaryota; Metazoa; Chordata; Mammalia; Rodentia; Muridae. The record is from RNAcentral.